GAAAGCCUUUCGGCUUAACCGGAGAAGUGCAUCGGAAACUGGAUAACUUGAGUGCAGAAGAGGGUAGUGGAACUCCAUGUGUAGCGGUGGAAUGCGUAGAUAUAUGGAAGAACACCAGUGGCGAAGGCGGCUACCUGGUCUGCAACUGACGCUGAGACUCGAAAGCAUGGGUAGCGAACAGGAUUAGAUACCCUGGUAGUCCAUGCCGUAAACGAUGAGUGCUAGGUGUUGGAGGGUUUCCGCCCUUCAGUGCCGGAGCUAACGCAUUAAGCACUCCGCCUGGGGAGUACGACCGCAAGGUUGAAACUCAAAGGAAUUGACGGGGGCCCGCACAAGCGGUGGAGCAUGUGGUUUAAUUCGAAGCUACGCGAAGAACCUUACCAGGUCUUGACAUCUUGCGCCAACCCUAGAGAUAGGGCGUUUCCUUCGGGAACGCAAUGACAGGUGGUGCAUGGUCGUCGUCAGCUCGUGUCGUGAGAUGUUGGGUUAAGUCCCGCAACGAGCGCAACCCUUGUUACUAGUUGCCAGCAUUAAGUUGGGCACUCUAGUGAGACUGCCGGUGACAAACCGGAGGAAGGUGGGGACGACGUCAGAUCAUCAUGCCCCUUAUGACCUGGGCUACACACGUGCUACAAUGGACGGUACAACGAGUCGCGAACUCGCGAGGGCAAGCAAAUCUCUUAAAACCGUUCUCAGUUCGGACUGCAGGCUGCAACUCGCCUGCACGAAGUCGGAAUCGCUAGUAAUCGCGGAUCAGCAUGCCGCGGUGAAUACGUUCCCGGGCCUUGUACACACCGCCCGUCACACCAUGAGAGUUUGUAACACCCAAAGUCGGUGGGGUAACCUUUUAGGAGCCAGCCGCCUAAGGUGGGACAGAUGAUUAGGGUGAAGUCGUAACAAGGUAACCGUA
RNAcentral lists this ribosomal RNA (910 nucleotides) under uncultured bacterium. RNAcentral describes it as "bacterial SSU rRNA". It matches the Rfam family "Bacterial small subunit ribosomal RNA", at positions 596 to 1504 of the family's 1533-position model. The record is from RNAcentral.